RNAcentral lists this long non-coding RNA (203 nucleotides) under Carica papaya (papaya). RNAcentral's name for it is "long non-coding RNA (CPAP_LNC000499)". Lineage: Eukaryota; Viridiplantae; Streptophyta; Magnoliopsida; Brassicales; Caricaceae. The record is from RNAcentral.
CACUACUCGUUUCCUUCCUUUAUCGGUUUGUCGUGCAUAGGAUUCAUUCUUCUUCUAGAUAUAUUGUCUGGUCUUCUCAUGUAUAGCUUUAACAAGUUCUACUCUCCGUUGACCAUCGAUAUCUUGAAUUUCCUAUAAAGGUAAAGGCGUGAGGCCUAACGGAGUUAAAUGAUUAAAAUCAUAAAUAAUUUCAAAAAGUAAAA